CCCAGACUCCUACGGGAGGCAGCAGUGGGGGAUAUUGCACAAUGGGGGAAACCCUGAUGCAGCGACGCCGCGUGGGUGAAGAAGCGCCUCGGCGCGUAAAGCCCUGUCAGCAGGGAAGAAAAUGACGGUACCUGAAGAAGAAGCCCCGGCUAACUACGUGCCAGCAGCCGCGGUAAUACGUAGGGGGCAAGCGUUAUCCGGAUUUACUGGGUGUAAAGGGAGCGUAGACGGCGGCGCAAGCCAGAUGUGAAAGCCCGGGGCUCAACCCCGGGACUGCAUUUGGAACUGUGCCGCUAGAGUGUCGGAGAGGCAGGCGGAAUUCCUAGUGUAGCGGUGAAAUGCGUAGAUAUCAGGAGGAACACCGGCGGCGAAGGCGGCCUGCUGGACCGCUACUGACGUUGAGGCUCGAAAGCGUGGAGAGCGAACAGGAUUAGAUACCCCCGUAUUA
RNAcentral lists this ribosomal RNA (448 nucleotides) under uncultured bacterium. RNAcentral describes it as "partial 16S ribosomal RNA". It matches the Rfam family "Bacterial small subunit ribosomal RNA", at positions 330 to 795 of the family's 1533-position model. The record is from RNAcentral.